RNAcentral lists this ribosomal RNA (468 nucleotides) under Bacillus sp. (in: firmicutes). Its description in RNAcentral is "bacterial SSU rRNA". It matches the Rfam family "Bacterial small subunit ribosomal RNA", at positions 336 to 794 of the family's 1533-position model. Lineage: Bacteria; Bacillati; Bacillota; Bacilli; Caryophanales; Bacillaceae. The record is from RNAcentral.
UUCCUACGGGAGGCAGCAGUAGGGAAUCUUCCGCAAUGGACGAAAGUCUGACGGGAGCAACGCCGCGUGAGUGAUGAAGGUUUUCGGAUCGUAAAGCUCUGUUGUUAGGGAAGAACAAGUGCCGUUCAAAUAGGGCGGCACCUUGACGGUACCUAACCAGAAAGCCACGGCUAACUACGUGCCAGCAGCCGCGGUAAUACGUAGGUGGCAAGCGUUGUCCGGAAUUAUUGGGCGUAAAGGGCUCGCAGGCGGUUUCUUAAGUCUGAUGUGAAAGCCCCCGGCUCAACCGGGGAGGGUCAUUGGAAACUGGGGAACUUGAGUGCAGAAGAGGAGAGUGGAAUUCCACGUGUAGCGGUGAAAUGCGUAGAGAUGUGGAGGAACACCAGUGGCGAAGGCGACUCUCUGGUCUGUAACUGACGCUGAGGAGCGAAAGCGUGGGGAGCGAACAGGAUUAGAUACCCUGGUAGU